This 465-nucleotide ribosomal RNA is filed under the name uncultured bacterium. RNAcentral describes it as "partial 16S ribosomal RNA". It matches the Rfam family "Bacterial small subunit ribosomal RNA", at positions 338 to 795 of the family's 1533-position model. The record is from RNAcentral.
CCUACGUGAGGCAGCAGUGGGGAAUAUUGCGCAAUGGGCGAAAGCCUGACGCAGUGACGCCGCGUGAGGGAUGAAGGUCUUCGGAUCGUAAACCUCUGUCAGCAGGGAAGAACGGUCACUGUGCUAAUCAGCAGUGAAUUGACGGUACCUGCAAAGGAAGCACCGGCUAACUCCGUGCCAGCAGCCGCGGUAAUACGGAGGGUGCGAGCGUUAAUCGGAAUUACUGGGCGUAAAGCGCUCGUAGGCGGUAUGUCAAGUCAAGGGUGAAAUCCCCGCGCUCAACGUGGGAACUGCGUUUGAAACUGGCAAACUGGAGUGUGUGAGAGGAUAGUGGAAGUCCAGGUGUAGGAGUGAAAUCCGUAGAUAUCUGGAGGAACAUCAGUGGCGAAGGCGACUAUCUGGCACAUAACUGACGCUGAGGAGCGAAAGCGUGGGUAGCAAACAGGAUUAGAUACCCCAGUAGUC